This 384-nucleotide ribosomal RNA is filed under the name Triticum aestivum (bread wheat). RNAcentral's name for it is "partial small subunit ribosomal RNA". The record is from RNAcentral. Lineage: Eukaryota; Viridiplantae; Streptophyta; Magnoliopsida; Poales; Poaceae.
AUGAGUAAGAACAAGGAGGAGAAAGAGAAGAAAAUGAGAGCUAUUGAUAAGAAGGAUGAUGAGGAGAAGGAGAGGGAGGAUCAGAAGAAAAGAAAGGAAAAUGGGUGGAAGGCGAUGCCACAUAAGGAAAGAAAGGAGGAGAAUGAGAAUGAGAAAGAAGAGCAGGGGCAGGAAGGGAAGGAAGGAGAAAUUAAGAAAGAUAAAGAGGAGGAACAAAAGGAGAUAAAUGAGCAAAAGGGAAGGAGGGAGAAUGGUAAAGAGGAAGAGGAGUCGAAGGAAAGGGAUGAUGAAGACCAAAAUGACAAACAAAAUUGCCCUCACUUCUUUAGGGCACUCAUCUCCUAUUCAUUCAUGGAACACAUGGUAGGGUUUCUUGAUUCAUAA